GACCUGGCUCAGGACGAACGCUGGCGGCGUGCUUAACACAUGCAAGUCGAACGAGAAUCUGUGGAACGAGGAUUCGUCCAAGUGAAGCAGAGGACAGUGGCGGACGGGUGAGUAACGCGUGAGGAACCUGCCUUUCAGAGGGGGACAACAGUUGGAAACGACUGCUAAUACCGCAUAACACAUGGGUGUCGCAUGGCACUGAUGUCAAAGAUUUAUCG
RNAcentral lists this ribosomal RNA (218 nucleotides) under uncultured bacterium. Its description in RNAcentral is "partial 16S ribosomal RNA". It matches the Rfam family "Bacterial small subunit ribosomal RNA", at positions 16 to 217 of the family's 1533-position model. The record is from RNAcentral.